This 74-nucleotide transfer RNA is filed under the name Stegodyphus mimosarum. It matches the Rfam family "tRNA". From Rfam's summary of the family: Transfer RNA (tRNA) molecules are approximately 80 nucleotides in length. Their secondary structure includes four short double-helical elements and three loops (D, anti-codon, and T loops). Further hydrogen bonds mediate the characteristic L-shaped molecular structure. tRNAs have two regions of fundamental functional importance: the anti-codon, which is responsible for specific mRNA codon recognition, and the 3' end, to which the tRNAs corresponding amino acid is attached (by aminoacyl-tRNA synthetases). tRNAs cope with the degeneracy of the genetic code in two manners: having more than one tRNA (with a specific anti-codon) for a particular amino acid; and 'wobble' base-pairing, i.e. permitting non-standard base-pairing at the 3rd anti-codon position. Lineage: Eukaryota; Metazoa; Arthropoda; Arachnida; Araneae; Eresidae. The record is from Rfam by way of RNAcentral.
GCCUUCGUGGGGUAAUUGGAAAUCGCAUCAGCUUAGCAGCCGGAAAAUCCGGAGUUCAAAUCUCGGCGAGGGCA